AGGAUAGUAAUGUAUCCGUCCCUUCGGGGCAGUGGAGACAGGUGGUGCAUGGUUGUCGUCAGCUCGUGUCGUGAGAUGUUGGGUUAAGUCCCGCAACGAGCGCAACCCUUACCUUCAGUAGCCAGCACAUAAUGGUGGGCACUCUGGAGGGACUGCCGGGGACAACCCGGAGGAAGGUGGGGACGACGUCAAAUCAUCAUGCCCCUUAUGGCCUGGGCUACACACGUGCUACAAUGGCGUAAACAGAGGGAGGCAGCCCCGCGAGGGUGAGCAAACCCCAAAAAUAACGUCCCAGUUCGGAUUGCAGUCUGCAACUCGACUGCAUGAAGCUGGAAUCGCUAGUAAUCGCGGAUCAGAAUGCCGCGGUGAAUACGUUCCCGGGUCUUGUACACACCGCCCGUCACACCAUGGGAGUUGGUAACGCCCGAAGUCAGUGACCUAACCGAAAGGGAGGAGCUGCCGAAGGUGGGACCAGUGACUGGGGUGAAGUCGUAACAAGGUAGCCGUAUCGGAAGG
RNAcentral lists this ribosomal RNA (516 nucleotides) under uncultured bacterium. RNAcentral's name for it is "bacterial SSU rRNA". It matches the Rfam family "Bacterial small subunit ribosomal RNA", at positions 995 to 1512 of the family's 1533-position model. The record is from RNAcentral.